GUGAAAGACUCUUUAUUGUCUGGUGGCAGAGGACCAGGCUAUAAAGUGUAUUGUGUCCUUGGGAAUCCUUUGAGAUAGAAGGUGCACAAGAAGGAGAAUGGACUCUAUUCAGCCUCGUGGAGGGCAGAACAGAGAGUUUCUUCAUGGGGUCAGAUUCUGGGCUUUGGGUGGAAGAGGGCGCUGGCAGCAAAGCCUCGUGGGAGCAGAGGGGUGAGGGACCCUCUUGUGGCUCCUCUGGGUGGCUCUGAGUGCAGGCAUGCAAAAGCAUUGCUAAAGAAUCACUGGUCUGUUUCAGGAAGCUUAUGUGGUCCUCUUGAAAGAUAUUUUCUGCGGUCUCGCAGAAGAGGAACUCCCAUGUGGGAGAGAAGUGGCAGACUUCUCCCUGAGGGGCAUAGCGGUGGGGACCACACAGCUGGAAGAAUCGUGCAGAACGCACAGCGCUUCACCUUCGACAGCACUUCCCAGGCUACAGGCUGCUUUAGAGGCAGACCUCAUGAGGAAGGGACCACAUGCCCUUUGGCUAAGUAGAGGCUGGAUGGAGGAGCAUCAGUGAACAGAAGACAGAGGCCGGCUGUGUUUCCAAUUACAUCUCAGGAGGAAGCCGGAGACUCUAGAACACUGACUACAAGAACCUUGAAAGGACCUUUAUACAGCCAAUUGGACCAGCAUUGUGUAUGUGAACCUGGACAGCAAUUCAGCUCAUACAUUGGACAGCAACCUAUGCGAUGGCCUCUUAGGAAACAUCUUCUGGUCCACUCAUCUCAUCUUGGAAAUCUGAAAUCAGACAUGCUGAGAAAAGGAGGUGGGCAGAAAUGGAGGCAGAAGUUAAAAGUGAAGACAGAGAAAAGCUCGGUAUAGAAGAGGCCAUGAGGGCUAAAGCAAAUCAGAGUUACAAGGAAGUAGAAACACACAUCAGCAGAAACCAAGAUAGACAAGAGGUCUUCAGCGUGCCGGGGAAAGGAUAAGGCCCUGAGUGGUGGGAUUCGGGUGGAUUAGAGCAGACAUAUGAAGCCAUGGCAGUGGCUGAGCACCAUGGGGAAGAUCCCUGAAUCCUGCUUGUUCUGGAGUUCUCACUUCCUGAGACCUGCUCUGCCUGGAGCCACGCCUGUCGUAGGAUCCUGAGCACAUGUAUCCUCACAAUAAGACAGCUGUUAUUUGAAAUAUCUCACGUGGAUCUCUUUUUCUUGCAAAUAAAUUCCCAAAAAAAGUGCAUAAUCUGACUCCUG
RNAcentral lists this long non-coding RNA (1226 nucleotides) under Equus caballus (horse). Its description in RNAcentral is "lncRNA (ENSECAG00000057804.1)". Lineage: Eukaryota; Metazoa; Chordata; Mammalia; Perissodactyla; Equidae. The record is from RNAcentral.